CAGUAGAUAAAUGGAAAAUACAUCGACGUUUGAUAAAUCCUUUGUUUAAAUACGAAAAUAUAAAAGAAAUGUUUUUCCCGGUUUUUCAAGAGAAAUCAAAACUACUAAUUCAGAAUCUACAAAAAGAAAUUUGUAAAACACAACCGUUUGAUAUAUUGGACUAUGCAUCAUAUAUUACUCUUAAUACAGUUUGUCGUAAGUUUUAAAAUCUCUACUACUAUGGAUAUGUUUGAAUGUGGAAUACAUUGUACCAUACUAUUAUACUUGCAGUGAUUACUAUUAGUAAUAUUAUUGAUGUUUUAUUGCCUUUUUAGAAACAACAAUGAAUUACAAUCUCGACUCUCAGGCAGAUAUGGGUUCCAAGAAGAGUGUCAGAAUG
Molecule: non-coding RNA, 379 nt
Organism: Cinara cedri
Lineage: Eukaryota; Metazoa; Arthropoda; Insecta; Hemiptera; Aphididae
Source: the annotation of a GenBank genome assembly